AUGGAGAUGAUUCACAAGGGAUCCAUGGACUUUGUGCUGGUCCCUUGCGGGCUUGCGAUCAUGCUCGGCUACCACCUCCUCCUCCUCUACCGCAUCCUUCGCCAUCCGCACACCACCGUCAUCGGCUACGAGAACCACAACAAGCUCGCCUGGGUGCAGCGCAUGGUGCAGACGACGGCGCCGGAGGAGGCGGCCCUGGCGCUGAGCGUGAUCUCCGACAGCAUCUCGGCGUCCACCACGCUGGCGUCGCUCUGCAUCGCGCUGGGCUCGCUGAUCGGCGCGUGGGUGAGCAGCAGCGCCGCGCCCUCGGAGCCGCUCACGGCCGGCGGCGACGGCGGUGCCGGCCAGCCGACGACGACGGGGAUGGCGUCGGCCAAGUUCACGUCGCUGCUCGUCUGCUUCCUGGCCUCCUUCGCCUGCUUCAUCCAGUCCGCGGGGCACUACGUGCACGCCAGCUUCCUCAUGACCGCGCUGGGGUCGGACGCGCCGGCGAGCCACGUGCAGCGCGCCGUGAUCCGGGGCGGCAACUUCUGGGCGCUGGGGCUCCGGGCGCUCUACUUCGCCACGGCGCUGCUCAUGUGGGUGUUCGGCCCGGUGGCCAUGCUCGCCUGCUCCGUGCUCACGGUGGUCGUGCUCCACCUGCUCGACACCAGCUCCAUGCCGCUGCACCACCACCAGUUCCUGGACAGAACGAGCGGCACUGGGGGAACCAGAGCGGCCAGCGCUCCGAACCCGGGGCUCCAUAGCGCGGUCGCGGUGUUCUCGCCGGUGCCGUAUCUCAGGUGA
RNAcentral lists this ribosomal RNA (786 nucleotides) under Triticum aestivum (bread wheat). RNAcentral's name for it is "partial small subunit ribosomal RNA". Lineage: Eukaryota; Viridiplantae; Streptophyta; Magnoliopsida; Poales; Poaceae. The record is from RNAcentral.